Molecule: unclassified non-coding RNA, 405 nt
Filed under: soil metagenome
Description: partial contains 5.8S ribosomal RNA, internal transcribed spacer 2, and large subunit ribosomal RNA
Rfam family: 5.8S ribosomal RNA (bases 1-122)
Source: RNAcentral
GAUGAAGAACGUAGCAAAAUGCGAUACUUGGUGUGAAUUGCAGAAUCCCGUGAACCAUCGAGUUUUUGAACGCAAGUUGCGCCCGAAGCCUUUUGGCCGAGGGCACGUCUGCCUGGGCGUCACGCAUCGCGUCGCCCCCCCACAAUUCUCCGUAAAGGGAACUUGUGUUUUGGGGGCGGAUAUUGGUCUCCCGUGCUCAUGGCGUGGUUGGCCGAAAUAGGAGUCCUUUCGAUGGACGCACGAACUAGUGGUGGUCGUAAAAACCCUCGUCUUUUGUUUCGUGCUGUUGCUCGCAAGGUAAACUCUUUAAAAACCCCAAUGUGUCGUCUCUUGACGACGCUUCGACCGCGACCCCAGGUCAGGCGGGACUACCCGCUGAGUUUAAGAAUAUCAAUAAGCGGAGGA